This 1224-nucleotide long non-coding RNA is filed under the name Gossypium raimondii (Peruvian cotton). Its description in RNAcentral is "long non-coding RNA (GRAI_LNC006860)". The record is from RNAcentral. Lineage: Eukaryota; Viridiplantae; Streptophyta; Magnoliopsida; Malvales; Malvaceae.
UUCUCUCUGACUUUCUCAAGCGUUUAUUUCGUUCCCAGUCAAAAUAGCUCACCACGUCUAUACCCUCACCUGCUGGCCACAUGUUGCUAGCUUUCAAGCUAACCCUGCCCUGAAGCCUAUGCCCUUUCCACACUCUCCUGCAAUAUGGAGACACAUUGCCUCCUAUGAAACUUUACUACCCUACCCAGCUUCACGUUCAUCCACUCUGACAGGUUCUCCAGAGCAACCUAUAACUUUACAUCUGAAGCAAAAAAAAGUACCAAGGGUAAUCCCUUGCCGCCUACAUUAUAUGAAUACACCAUGCAGGUUCUGUGACAGCAACGGUGAUUUAUGUAGACUACGGGCUAAUCAGUGAACUACAAGACAUUGAAAGAUAUGGGAGUAAGGCGAGUCGGGGGAGGAGAUGUAAAGUGGCUUCCAGACAACAAAUGGAUGCCACCAAGCGGAGUUCAAGCAGGAACAAUCUACUCGGGUAACAUAACAAAACUAGAUAACCUAUGCUUUACAUGUCUACAUCAAAGUAAUAUAUCCAUUAUCCUGCACAGAACAAGUGAAGAUUUAAAAUAAACAGCAGAAAGUUUCCAAUAUGUGGCAUACAUAAAAAUCAGUAAUUAAGACUAAUGUAGGCAGAUAUGAAGAUCUCGCAACUACACGAACAAUAAAUAUCAAACCUUGCGAACCAAGUAGCGUCUCCAUUCACUGUACUGAAAGAAACAAUUCAUUCUAUUCGCAUCAGGUUGAUAAAAGACAAUGCCACAAGGUUAAUGACAAAAGAAAAUAGAACAACCGGUAUUCUGAUAAAGACGGUAGAACCUGAAACGAUUGCCAAUAAAUUCAAAUUUAUCAUCAAGAGUGACUCAUGCUCCAUGCAUGCAGCUCAUUAGACAUUAAUCCAACCUAGAGACCAAGGCAUUCAUACAUGCACAUAGAACUAGAUUUUUUAUCUGCCUCAGAACAUAAAUUAAACGUAACUUUAUCCACUUCUCCUUGUAUACACGGUAGCAUCAAAACUUUUUUCCUCAUCAUUGAUUAAUAUUCACACUACAAUAGAAGCUUUGAUAAACUGGAUUUGAGUGUCAAAGAUUUCGUUAUCCUAGAACUUUAAUAAAAUGAACCUCACACAAUUAAAUGACAAAACGAAGUUUUAUUUUUCCGGAAAAUGAGAUUUUAGAUAAGGGCAAAACCUUUUCUCCCUUGUUCAAGUCCAUCGAUGAGCCAUCAGAA